Saccostrea cuccullata (small rock oyster) is the source of this 808-nucleotide long non-coding RNA. RefSeq lists it as uncharacterized. The record is from RefSeq and is a predicted model, not a curated record. The transcript is spliced from 6 exons. Lineage: Eukaryota; Metazoa; Mollusca; Bivalvia; Ostreida; Ostreidae.
AUAUCAAGAUGAAUUUUAAUGUUUAUUUACAAGAAUGUAGAUGAUCAUUUCUUGUAGACGCUCGCAUAAAAAAGAAGGAUGUCUACUCUGUUACUCUGCACCCUCAUCCCACACUGUUCAAAUCUUCACAAAAUAUUUUACUUUUUUAAAACUUAAUUUAUGAUCAGGUAGAAACAAAAAUGUAUUAUAAAUUUUAAAACCGUUUUCAUUUGGUUUAUUCCGGACCGGUUUUGGUUUAUAUCGGAUGAAAGUGUACGUCACAUUUGACGUCACUGCUGCAGCAGAAGUCUUGGGUGUUGGAAAAAGGCAUAUGUACUAAGCAACUUAAGUUCAGCGUCCCAGAGUCGUUUUUAUUCAAAGAACCCAUUGCCGAUUUUAUUGAGUGACGAUGGAAGUUAUUGACCCAAUGCCGAUUUUAUUGGCGAUUGCGUGAUGACAAAUCAGAACAAUGUUCCAGCACAUUUUUAAAAACCUGUAAGAUAUGAAGAGAAUUUUCUGGCCCUAAAACAACGCAAUAUCUACAUGUAAAUGGGGAUAAAUUUUCAUCUAAAGCAGACAUACAAGGUGUAAUAUACAGCCUGCCUUUUUCAUAGUGAAUACAUUGAAGAACAGACACCAUGACCCCAAGCUUGCUUCAAAAUAGGCUCCACCCCUGCCUUAACAUGAGAAGUUUUCAAAUCGUUUGACCAUUAUCGAAGGGGCUGAUGAAAUUUCUUAAGUGCUCAAGAAGCAAUGCAGUCACUGUCGGGGAAACGAAGCCAGAAUUGUGUAAAAAUUUGAAAAAUAAAUGCAGGAUUAAUGCUUACAA